AGACGACGCUGGCGGGCGUGCCUAACACAUGCAAGUCGAACGGAGAGGACUGAAGUAUUUCGGUACGGAAUGCUCUCUUAGUGGCGAACGGGUGAGUAACACGUGGGCAACCUGCCCCAGACGUGGGGGAUAACAUUGUGAAAACAGUGCUAAUACCGCAUGACAGGGUUCCGGGCAUCCGGGACCCUUGAAAGGAGAAAUCCGGUCAGGGAUGGGCCCGCGUCCAAUUAGCUAGUUGGCGGGGUAACGGCCCACCAAGGCGACGAUUGGUAGCCGAACUGAGAGGUUGAUCGGCCACAUUGGGACUGAGACACGGCCCAGACUCCUACGGGAGGCAGCAGUGGGGAAUAUUGGGCAAUGGGCGAAAGCCUGACCCAGCGACGCCGCGUGAAGGAUGAAGGUCUUCGGAUUGUAAACUUCUUUGAUCAGGGAAGAAAGAAAUGACGGUACCUGAAAAACAAGCCACGGCUAACUACGUG
This 479-nucleotide ribosomal RNA is filed under the name uncultured bacterium. Its description in RNAcentral is "bacterial SSU rRNA". It matches the Rfam family "Bacterial small subunit ribosomal RNA", at positions 33 to 507 of the family's 1533-position model. The record is from RNAcentral.